This 676-nucleotide ribosomal RNA is filed under the name uncultured bacterium. RNAcentral's name for it is "bacterial SSU rRNA". It matches the Rfam family "Bacterial small subunit ribosomal RNA", at positions 66 to 758 of the family's 1533-position model. The record is from RNAcentral.
AUGAGACUUCGGUGGAUUUUAAACUGACUGAGCGGCGGACGGGUGAGUAACGCGUGGAUAACCUGCCUCACACAGGGGGAUAACAGUUAGAAAUGACUGCUAAUACCGCAUAAGCGCACGGCAUCGCAUGAUGCAGUGUGAAAAACUCCGGUGGUGUGAGAUGGAUCCGCGUCUGAUUAGGUAGUUGGUGGGGUAACGGCCCACCAAGCCGACGAUCAGUAGCCGACCUGAGAGGGUGACCGGCCACAUUGGGACUGAGACACGGCCCAAACUCCUACGGGAGGCAGCAGUGGGGAAUAUUGCACAAUGGGCGAAAGCCUGAUGCAGCGACGCCGCGUGAGUGAAGAAGUAUCUCGGUAUGUAAAGCUCUAUCAGCAGGGAAGAAAAUGACGGUACCUGACUAAGAAGCCCCGGCUAACUACGUGCCAGCAGCCGCGGUAAUACGUAGGGGGCAAGCGUUAUCCGGAUUUACUGGGUGUAAAGGGAGCGCAGACGGCGAUGCAAGUCUGGAGUGAAAGCCCGGGGCUCAACCCCGGGACUGCUUUGGAAACUGUAUGGCUAGAGUGCUGGAGAGGCAAGCGGAAUUCCUAGUGUAGCGGUGAAAUGCGUAGAUAUUAAGAAGAACACCAGUGGCGAAGGCGGCUUGCUGGACAGUAACUGACGUUCAGGCUCGAAA